RNAcentral lists this transfer RNA (64 nucleotides) under Agriotes obscurus (dusky wireworm). RNAcentral describes it as "tRNA-Leu". The record is from RNAcentral. Lineage: Eukaryota; Metazoa; Arthropoda; Insecta; Coleoptera; Elateridae.
UCUAAUAUGGCAGAAUAGUGCAAUGAAUUUAAGCUUCAUGUAUAAAGCAAAGCUUUUCUUAGAA